This 492-nucleotide ribosomal RNA is filed under the name uncultured bacterium. Its description in RNAcentral is "partial 16S ribosomal RNA". It matches the Rfam family "Bacterial small subunit ribosomal RNA", at positions 29 to 507 of the family's 1533-position model. The record is from RNAcentral.
AGUGAACGCUGGCGGUAGGCCUAACACAUGCAAGUCGAACGGCAGCACAGUAAGAGCUUGCUCUUACGGGUGGCGAGUGGCGGACGGGUGAGGAAUACAUCGGAAUCUACUUUUUCGUGGGGGAUAACGUAGGGAAACUUACGCUAAUACCGCAUACGACCUACGGGUGAAAGCAGGGGAUCUUCGGACCUUGCGCGAUUGAAUGAGCCGAUGUCGGAUUAGCUAGUUGGCGGGGUAAAGGCCCACCAAGGCGACGAUCCGUAGCUGGUCUGAGAGGAUGAUCAGCCACACUGGAACUGAGACAAGGUCCAGACUACUACGGGAGGCAGCAGUGGGGAAUAGUGGACAAUGGGCGCAAGCCUGAUCCAGCCAUACCGCGUGGGUGAAGAAGGCCUUCGGGUUGUAAAGCCAUUUUGUUGGGAAAGAAAAGCAGCAGGUUAAUACCCCGCUGUUCUGACGGUACCCAAAGAAUAAGCACCGGCUAACUUCGUG